CCUACGGGUGGCAGCAGUGAGGAAUAUUGGUCAAUGGACGCAAGUCUUAACCAGCCAUGCCGCGUGCAGGAAGACGGCUCUAUGAGUUGUAAACUGCUUUUGUACGAGGGUAAACUCAGAUACGCGUAUCUGUCUGAAUGUACCCUACGAAUAAGGAUCGGCUAACUCCGUGCCAGCAGCCGCGGUAAUACGGAGGAUUCAAGCGUUAUCCGGAUUUAUUGGGUUUAAAGGGUGCGUAGGCGGUCGGUUAAGUUAGAGGUGAAAUCCCGGGGCUCAACUUCGGAAUUGCCGCUGAUACUGUUCGGCUAGAGGGUAGUUGCGGUAGGCGGAAUGUGAGGUGUAGCGGUGAAAUGCAUAGAGAUCAUGCAGAACACCGAUUGCGAAGGCAGCUUACC
Molecule: ribosomal RNA, 395 nt
Filed under: uncultured bacterium
Lineage: Bacteria
Description: partial 16S ribosomal RNA
Rfam family: Bacterial small subunit ribosomal RNA
Source: RNAcentral